This is a non-coding RNA of Ascaris lumbricoides (common roundworm), 73 nucleotides long. Lineage: Eukaryota; Metazoa; Nematoda; Chromadorea; Rhabditida; Ascarididae. The record is from Rfam.
GCCUUCUUAGCUCAGUCGGUAGAGCAUCAGACUUUUAAUCUGAGGGUCGUGGGUUCGGGUCCCACAGAAGGCG